RNAcentral lists this transfer RNA (68 nucleotides) under Euthalenessa festiva. Its description in RNAcentral is "tRNA-Ile". The record is from RNAcentral. Lineage: Eukaryota; Metazoa; Annelida; Polychaeta; Phyllodocida; Sigalionidae.
GAUGGAACGCCGGGAUUGAACGGAUAACUCUGAUGACGUUAAACACGGGGAACAACCCCCUUCCAUCU